AGUGAACGCUGGCGGUAGGCCUAACACAUGCAAGUCGAACGGCAGCACAGUAAGAGCUUGCUCUUACGGGUGGCGAGUGGCGGACGGGUGAGGAAUACAUCGGAAUCUACUUUUUCGUGGGGGAUAACGUAGGGAAACUUACGCUAAUACCGCAUACGACCUACGGGUGAAAGCAGGGGAUCUUCGGACCUUGCGCGAUUGAAUGAGCCGAUGUCGGAUUAGCUAGUUGGCGGGGUAAAGGCCCACCAAGGCGACGAUCCGUAGCUGGUCUGAGAGGAUGAUCAGCCACACUGGAACUGAGACACGGUCCAGACUCCUACGGGAGGCAGCAGUGGGGAAUAUUGGACGAUGGGCGAAAGCCUGAUCCAGCCAUACCGCGUGGGUGAAGAAGGCCUUCGGGUUGUAAAGCCCUUUUGUUGGGAAAGAAAAGCAGCAGGUUAAUACCCCGCUGUUCUGACGGUACCCAAAGAAUAAGCACCGGCUAACUUCGUG
RNAcentral lists this ribosomal RNA (492 nucleotides) under uncultured bacterium. RNAcentral describes it as "partial 16S ribosomal RNA". It matches the Rfam family "Bacterial small subunit ribosomal RNA", at positions 29 to 507 of the family's 1533-position model. The record is from RNAcentral.